RNAcentral lists this ribosomal RNA (744 nucleotides) under uncultured Bacteroidota bacterium. RNAcentral's name for it is "bacterial SSU rRNA". It matches the Rfam family "Bacterial small subunit ribosomal RNA", at positions 79 to 821 of the family's 1533-position model. The record is from RNAcentral. Lineage: Bacteria; Pseudomonadati; Bacteroidota.
UCUUCGGGACUUGAGACCGGCGCACGGGUGCGUAACGCGUAUGCAAUCUGCCUUUCACAGAGGGAUAGCCCAGAGAAAUUUGGAUUAAUACCUCAUAGUAUAGCAGUCUCGCAUGAGACCACUAUUAAAGUCACAACGGUGAAAGAUGAGCAUGCGUCCCAUUAGCUAGUUGGUAAGGUAACGGCUUACCAAGGCUACGAUGGGUAGGGGUCCUGAGAGGGAGAUCCCCCACACUGGUACUGAGACACGGACCAGACUCCUACGGGAGGCAGCAGUGAGGAAUAUUGGACAAUGGGCGCAAGCCUGAUCCAGCCAUGCCGCGUGCAGGAUGACGGUCCUAUGGAUUGUAAACUGCUUUUGUACGAGAAGAAACACUCCUUCGUGAAGGAGCUUGACGGUAUCGUAAGAAUAAGGAUCGGCUAACUCCGUGCCAGCAGCCGCGGUAAUACGGAGGAUCCAAGCGUUAUCCGGAAUCAUUGGGUUUAAAGGGUCCGUAGGCGGUUUAGUAAGUCAGUGGUGAAAGCCCAUCGCUCAACGGUGGAACGGCCAUUGAUACUGCUGAACUUGAAUUAUUAGGAAGUAACUAGAAUAUGUAGUGUAGCGGUGAAAUGCUUAGAGAUUACAUGGAAUACCAAUUGCGAAGGCAGGUUACUACUAAUGGAUUGACGCUGAUGGACGAAAGCGUGGGUAGCGAACAGGAUUAGAUACCCUGGUAGUCCACGCCGUAAACGAUGGAUACUAGCU